Molecule: ribosomal RNA, 301 nt
Filed under: uncultured bacterium
Lineage: Bacteria
Description: partial 16S ribosomal RNA
Rfam family: Bacterial small subunit ribosomal RNA
Source: RNAcentral
CAGUCGCCACGGUAAUACAGAGGGUGCGAGCGUUAAUCGGAUUUACUGGGCGUAAAGCGUGCGUAGGCGGCUUUUUAAGUCGGAUGUGAAAUCCCUGAGCUUAACUUAGGAAUUGCAUUCGAUACUGGGAAGCUAGAGUAUGGGAGAGGAUGGUAGAAUUCCAGGUGUAGCGGUGAAAUGCGUAGAGAUCUGGAGGAAUACCGAUGGCGAAGGCAGCCAUCUGGCCUAAUACUGACGCUGAGGUACGAAAGCAUGGGGAGCAACAGGAUUAGAUACCCGAGUAGUCCCUGUCUCUUAUACA